UUGGUCAACCUAGGCAAAGUCUAGCCAAUAGCCUAGAACAGACCAUUAUGGUGCGUAAGGUAACGAGCGUAUCAAAGCUAAUGGAAUGGACAACACAGGGUGCAACGAAAGUGAAGGUAUUGAGUCCCGAAAUUUGUUAUGACAUAGAGGUUGACAUUUUCCAUGAGAUGGAAGACAGCAUGAAGGGUAACAACAAGGCAAGUUAUCACUCACUCUAUCGGGAUCUGAGGCCG
This 233-nucleotide non-coding RNA is filed under the name Wolbachia endosymbiont of Armadillidium vulgare. The record is from RNAcentral. Lineage: Bacteria; Pseudomonadati; Pseudomonadota; Alphaproteobacteria; Rickettsiales; Anaplasmataceae.